GGGAAAGGAUCCCCCCUCCACACACACACACACAGACUGCUGCACUUCAUCCCUUCCACCUGCCUCCAUCGCUCCUAUUUCUCCCAGUGUCAUCACUCCACCUGUAUCUUAUUCCCUCUCACUCCAUCCAUCCAGCCAUCCUUCUUUUUUUCUCUCCAGCCCCCACGCCCUUCUAACCCACACACUCUGUGUCACCACCGUGGUCAAGAAAAUGAUCAGCCAACAAGCUGGAAGAGGUAGAGGAGAGGAAAAAGAGUGGAGAAAGAGAGGAAGAGUGAACUCUGUCCAUUUAAGAUACUCCAAACGUUCCAGUUUCCUCUAUGGAUUAUCCAGAGCCCCAUGGACGUAUGGAGGAGUGGAGGAGAAAAGAAAAAGACGAAUAGAGAAGAGAGAAAAAAGGAAUUGCACUCCGGACAGCCAGUCCGUGUGACGGCCGGAGUGUUUUAGUGUGAGUGUGUGUACGGCGUAACCAACCCAUUCUGCAGUGGAGCCGCGGAGCACAGGGGGAGCCUGAGUUACUACAUGUCUUAGUCAGACCACGCCCCAGUUCACCUUCACCUGUUUUUGCAGUCUGCACGGCUUCUGCCGGAGACGGAGGAAAAAGAAAAAGCAGAAAGGGGAGGAACAGGAUGAGAUGCAGGAGAAACGGAGGGAUCAGGAGACUGAGGUGUGAAGGAAGACUGGAGCGACUUCACCCUCCUCUUCAUUCUCUCAGAGACGAUUGUGACGGCAUUCUAAUUUCUACAUCCAGAUCAUUUUCUUCACGCUGUUAUGCGUCUCUCCUCCACCUGCAGCAGCUGUUCAAUCAGCAGCUUCACUGGAGUGCAUAGGUAUAGGUCAAAGCUCAAAACUAACGUUCUUUACUAUCUCCUACACCACGGAGACACACGUGCGCACACACACACGUGCACACACACACACGCAUUAAUUAAAGUCCUGUGUAGGUCUAUGAAUGCCAGUGGGGUGUAGGGACACCUAUCACCUGUUUAUGAUGAAAGUAGUGAAUGUGAUUGUGUGUGCACUGAGACUUCAUUGCAGCGGGACCACAGAGAGUUGCAGGACUGCACCUACCAGUUAAGAUAAGCAUAUGCUGCAGAAUGAAUGCCCUUUACACGCACAUGCACGCAAGCACACAUGCACGCAAACACACACACACGCAGGUCUCAUUAGCCUGUGUAAUUAUGCAUGGCACGUCCAGUUGGCCAGUGGAGAAGUAAUUAACCUUUUCCAGCAGGAAACAGCAAUCUGGACGUCUGACACACUCACAUGCACGCACACACGUCUGGUGUCACGGAAAUAAAGUGUCAAAGACAGCGGCUGGCAUUCAAUGAUAAUCCCCUCACGCAUAUUUCUGUCCAAGGCUUAAAACACUAAUAAUGCCAAAUUACCUCUCCUCUCCCUUCAUCUUCCCUCCUUUCUCUUUCUCCCUCUUCUUGUCCCCAAGUCCUUCUCUGUCUUUCUCUCUGCUUAACUCUGUCUGUCUGUCUGUCUGUCUGUCUGUCUGUCUGUCUGUCUGUCUGUCUGUCUGUCUGUCUGUCUGUCUGUCUGUCUGUCUGUCUGUCUGUCUGUCUGUCUGUCUGUCUGUCUGGCUACGAAACCUCUUUUCUCCACCACUCUCCCUGUCUCCCUCCCUGUCUCCCUCUCCUUUCUCCCCUCUCUCAAUCAAUUUGCCCACAUCCCUCUCUCUCCUGCUCUUUAUCUCUCAGUAAAACACAUGUUCUCUGGGCAGUGAGCAUGGCCUUGCCUGGCUGGCAGCACCCAUAGAUUAACACCAGCACUCUGACUCUCACUCAGGGAGCCCUCUCGCCAAGAACACAACAGCUGCUUUACAGUUGAAGGAGUAGGAUGCCUGUGUGUGUAUGUGUGUGUGUGUGUGUGUGUGUGUGUGUGUGUGUGUGUUUAUAAGAAUAGAUUAAGCGAUAGGGUUGAUUGUGUAUUUAUCCAUUCUACCAUUGAGGGAAAGUGAAAUGGGAUAACACAAAGCCAUUUCACAGACAGGAGCAGAUAUGAGUCACCAUGCUACAGAAAGACUUUUCAACCAGAAAGAGAGGGAGAGGGGGAGAGAGAGAACAGUUAAUGAGAGAGGGAUGAAAAUGGAAGAGGGAGCUAAUACUCGGCAGUCAUGCUAAUUGGCUACAUUUGCUAACUCUCUGAGGCGAGAGGAUCCCGGCAUUACAUUCGUUUAAUGCUCCCUCCAUCACGUUAAAGAAAGGAUUCGCUUGAAUAAUGAAGAGGAGCUGAAAUGAAUAACAGUUUGUUAUUAUCUGUGGGAGGGUUGUUUUUCACCUGAGUGACUAUGUGUAGACUUCUAUGGAUCAUAUCCAUGCUCACCGAGCCUUACUCAAGGACAAACAGCUAAAAAUAGAGGGGAGUACGCGACCACUAUAAUAGCAGGAGCAAAGGAAGGAAGGGAGAGGGAGAGAGAACGAGUGCUGUCAGAUUAGAUUCGGGUCAGAAAAGAUGGGAAGAGCAAGUGAGGCAGAGGGUGUUUCAUACGGAGGAGAUUAAUCACUCUCUCUCCCUUUGUCUCACUGCUGCUUUCUCUCCCUCUCUUUCUUCCUUUGUCUCUCUCUCUCGCAUUCUCUUUGUCCCUCUCUCCCUCUCUCUCUCUACUCAAUACCACACUAUUGCACACCUGCAAGAUGGGGGGGGGAAGUGGGGAGGAAGAGAGACAAUUAAACUGAUCUAUAGUGGAAUAAGGAGAAAGAGGAAACCCUCAAUUUCACUCCUCAUCACCUUCUCCUCUCUCCUCCUCUCCUCAUCACCUUCUCCUCUCUCCUCCUCUCCUCAUCACCUUCUCCUCUCUCCUCCUCUCCUCAUCACCUUCUCCUCUCUCCUCCUCUCCUCAUCACCUUCUCCUCUCUCCUCCUCUCCUCAUCACCUUCUCCUUCUCCUCCUCUCCUCAUCGCCUUCUCCUCUCUCCUCCUCUCCUCAUCACCUUC
This is a long non-coding RNA of Oncorhynchus tshawytscha (Chinook salmon), 2942 nucleotides long. The record is from Ensembl. Lineage: Eukaryota; Metazoa; Chordata; Actinopteri; Salmoniformes; Salmonidae.